AUACAUGCAGUCGAGCGGAAGAUGGGAGCUUGCUCCCUGAUGUUAGCGGCGGACGGGUGAGUAACACGUGGGUAACCUGCCUGUAAGACUGGGAUAACUCCGGGAAACCGGGGCUAAUACCGGAUGCUUGAUUGAACCGCAUGGUUCAAUUAUAAAAGGUGGCUUUUAGCUACCACUUACAGAUGGACCCGCGGCGCAUUAGCUAGUUGGUGAGGUAACGGCUCACCAAGGCAACGAUGCGUAGCCGACCUGAGAGGGUGAUCGGCCACACUGGGACUGAGACACGGCCCAAACUCCUACGGGAGGCAGCAGUAGGGAAUCUUCCGCAAUGGACGAAAGUCUGACGGAGCACCGCCGCGUGAGUGAUGAAGGUUUUCGGAUCGUAAAACUCUGUUGUUAGGGAAGAACAAGUACCGUUCGAAUAGGGCGGUACCUUGACGGUACCUAACCAGAAAGCCACGGCUAACUACGUGCCAGC
Molecule: ribosomal RNA, 478 nt
Filed under: Bacillus mojavensis
Lineage: Bacteria; Bacillati; Bacillota; Bacilli; Caryophanales; Bacillaceae
Description: bacterial SSU rRNA
Rfam family: Bacterial small subunit ribosomal RNA
Source: RNAcentral